RNAcentral lists this ribosomal RNA (359 nucleotides) under uncultured Desulfocapsa sp. RNAcentral describes it as "bacterial SSU rRNA". It matches the Rfam family "Bacterial small subunit ribosomal RNA", at positions 1021 to 1382 of the family's 1533-position model. The record is from RNAcentral. Lineage: Bacteria; Pseudomonadati; Thermodesulfobacteriota; Desulfobulbia; Desulfobulbales; Desulfocapsaceae.
CGGGAACUCUGACACAGGUGCUGCAUGGCUGUCGUCAGCUCGUGUCGUGAGAUGUUGGUUAAGUCCCGCAACGAGCGCAACCCCUAUCUUUAGUUGCCAUCAUUGAGUUGGGCACUCUAAAGAGACUGCCGGUGUCAAACCGGAGGAAGGUGGGGAUGACGUCAAGUCCUCAUGGCCUUUAUGACCAGGGCUACACACGUACUACAAUGGCCGGUACAAAGGGCAGCGACACAGCGAUGUGAAGCGAAUCCCGAAAAGCCGGUCUCAGUCCGGAUUGGAGUCUGCAACUCGACUCCAUGAAGUUGGAAUCGCUAGUAAUCGCGGAUCAGCACGCCGCGGUGAAUACGUUCCCGGGCCUU